GGCAUUGUGGCGAAGUGGUUAUCGCAACAGACUAGAUUUCAGUUUCCUUCGGGAGCAUCAGUUCGAAUCUGAUCAAUGUCA
Non-coding RNA from Phyllosticta citriasiana, 81 nucleotides. Lineage: Eukaryota; Fungi; Ascomycota; Dothideomycetes; Botryosphaeriales; Phyllostictaceae. The record is from the annotation of a GenBank genome assembly.